UACGGAGGGUGCAAGCGUUAUCCGGAUUUACUGGGUUUAAAGGGUGCGUAGGUGGGUAGGUAAGUCAGUGGUGAAAUCUUCGAGCUUAACUCGGAAACUGCCAUUGAUACUAUCUGUCUUGAAUACUUUGGAGGUAAGCGGAAUAUGUCAUGUAGCGGUGAAAUGCUUAGAUAUGACAUAGAACACCAAUUGCGAAGGCAGCUUACUGCACAGUCAUUGACACUGAGGCACGAAAGCGUGGGGAUCAAACAGG
RNAcentral lists this ribosomal RNA (253 nucleotides) under uncultured bacterium. Its description in RNAcentral is "partial 16S ribosomal RNA". It matches the Rfam family "Bacterial small subunit ribosomal RNA", at positions 524 to 776 of the family's 1533-position model. The record is from RNAcentral.